Molecule: long non-coding RNA, 1185 nt
Organism: Oncorhynchus tshawytscha (Chinook salmon)
Lineage: Eukaryota; Metazoa; Chordata; Actinopteri; Salmoniformes; Salmonidae
Source: Ensembl
AUACACUGCUCUGAUAGGAUAGUCUGAUAGGUUAGUUUAAUACUCUGCUCUGAUAGGUUAGUCUGAUAGGUUAGUUUAAUACACUGCUCUGAUAGGAUAGUCUGUUAGGGUAGUUUAAUACACUGCUCUGAUAGGGUAGUUUAAUACACUGCUCUGAUAGGUUAGUUUAAUACACUGCUCUGAUAGGGUAGUUUAAUACACUGCUCUGAUAGGGUAGUUUUAUACACUGCUCUGAUAGGUUAGUUUAAUACACUGCUCUGAUAGGUUAGUUUAAUACACUGCUCUGAUAGGGUAGUUUAAUACACUGCUCUGAUAGGGUAGUUUAAUACACUGCUCUGAAGACUGUUGAUGCCAUUGGAGAUCCACAAACUGACUGUGGAAUGUUUUGGUUCCUGAUAUAUGUAGGGGUCAAAUCUGAAGCCCUAUUCUCUAUGUAGUGCACUAAGGGGAUAGUAGGGGUCAAAUCUGAAGCCCUAUUCUCUAUGUAGUGCACUAAGGGGAUAGUAGGGGUCAAAUCUGAAGCCCUAUUCUCUAUGUAGUGCACUAAGGGGAUAGUAGGGGUCAAAUCUGAAGCCCUAUUCUCUAUGUAGUGCACUAAGGGCAUAGUAGGGGUCAAAUCUGAAGCCCUAUUCUCUAUGUAGUGCACUAAGGGGAUAGUAGGGGUCAAAUCUGAAGCCCUAUUCUCUAUGUAGUGCACUAAGGGGAUAGUAGGGGUCAAAUCUGAAGCCCUAUUCUCUAUGUAGUGCACUAAGGGGACAGUAGGGGUAAAAUCUGAAGCCCUAUUCUCUAUGUAGUGCACUAAGGGGAUAGUAGGGGUCAAAUCUGAAGCCCUAUUCUCUAUGUAGUGCACUAAGGGGAUAGUAGGGGUCAAAUCUGAAGCCCUAUUCUCUAUGUAGUGCACUAAGGGGAUAGUAGGGGUCAAAUCUGAAGCCCUAUUCUCUAUGUAGUGCACUAAGGGCAUAGUAGGGGUCAAAUCUGAAGCCCUAUUCUCUAUGUAGUGCACUAAGGGGACAGUAGGGGUCAAAUCUGAAGCCCUAUUCUCUAUGUAGUGCACUAAGGGGACAGUAGGGGUCAAAUCUGAAGCCCUAUUCUCUAUGUAGUGCACUAAGGGGAUAGUAGGGGUCAAAUCUGAAGCCCUAUUCUCUAUGUAGUGCACUAAGGGCAUAGUAGGGGUCAAAUCUGAAG